This 245-nucleotide ribosomal RNA is filed under the name uncultured bacterium. Its description in RNAcentral is "partial 16S ribosomal RNA". It matches the Rfam family "Bacterial small subunit ribosomal RNA", at positions 524 to 768 of the family's 1533-position model. The record is from RNAcentral.
GACGAAGGUGGCUAGCGUUGUUCGGAAUCACUGGGCUUAAAGAGCACGUAGGCGGCUCAUCAAGCGCUUUGUGAAAUCCCUCGGCUCAACCGAGGAAUUGCUUGGCGGACUGAUGGGCUUGAGGUAGGCAGGGGCGAGUGGAACUCUUGGUGGAGCGGUGGAAUGCGUAGAUAUCAAGAGGAACGCCGGCGGUGAAGACGACUCGCUGGGCCUGUCCUGACGCUGAGGUGCGAAAGCCAGGGGAG